RNAcentral lists this ribosomal RNA (433 nucleotides) under uncultured bacterium. RNAcentral describes it as "partial 16S ribosomal RNA". It matches the Rfam family "Bacterial small subunit ribosomal RNA", at positions 29 to 507 of the family's 1533-position model. The record is from RNAcentral.
AGCGAACGCUGGCGGCAGGCCUAACACAUGCAAGUCGAACGGAUCCUUCGGGAUUAGUGGCGGACGGGUGAGUAACACGUGGGAACGUGCCCUUUGGUUCGGAACAACUCAGGGAAACUUGAGCUAAUACCGGAUGUGCCCUUCGGGGGAAAGAUUUAUCGCCAUUGGAGCGGCCCGCGUCUGAUUAGCUAGUUGGUGAGGUAACGGCCCACCAAGGCGACGAUCAGUAGCUGGUCUGAGAGGAUGAUCAGCCACACUGGGACUGAGACACGGCCCAGACUCCUACGGGAGGCAGCAGUGGGGAAUCUUGCGCAAUGGGCGAAAGCCUGACGCAGUCAUGCCGCGUGAAUGAUGAAGGUCUUAGGAUUGUAAAAUUCUUUCAGCGGGGACGAUAAUGACGGUACCCGCAGAAGAAGCUCCGGCUAACUUCGUG